This 1343-nucleotide ribosomal RNA is filed under the name uncultured bacterium. RNAcentral's name for it is "16S ribosomal RNA". It matches the Rfam family "Bacterial small subunit ribosomal RNA", at positions 28 to 1378 of the family's 1533-position model. The record is from RNAcentral.
GACGAACGCUGGCGGCGUGCUUAACACAUGCAAGUCGAACGGAAAGGCCCUGCUUUUGUGGGGUGCCCGAGUGGCGAACGGGUGAGUAACACGUGAGUAACCUGCCCUUGACUUUGGGAUAACUUCAGGAAACUGGGGCUAAUACCGGAUAGGAGCUCCUGCUGCAUGGUGGGGGUUGGAAAGUUUCGGCGGUUGGGGAUGGACUCGCGGCUUAUCAGCUUGUUGGUGGGGUAGUGGCUUACCAAGGCUUUGACGGGUAGCCGGCCUGAGAGGGUGACCGGCCACAUUGGGACUGAGAUACGGCCCAGACUCCUACGGGAGGCAGCAGUGGGGAAUAUUGCACAAUGGGCGGAAGCCUGAUGCAGCAACGCCGCGUGCGGGAUGACGGCCUUCGGGUUGUAAACCGCUUUCGCCUGUGACGAAGCGUGAGUGACGGUAAUGGGUAAAGAAGCACCGGCUAACUACGUGCCAGCAGCCGCGGUGAUACGUAGGGUGCGAGCGUUGUCCGGAUUUAUUGGGCGUAAAGGGCUCGUAGGUGGUUGAUCGCGUCGGAAGUGUAAUCUUGGGGCUUAACCCUGAGCGUGCUUUCGAUACGGGUUGACUUGAGGAAGGUAGGGGAGAAUGGAAUUCCUGGUGGAGCGGUGGAAUGCGCAGAUAUCAGGAGGAACACCAGUGGCGAAGGCGGUUCUCUGGGCCUUUCCUGACGCUGAGGAGCGAAAGCGUGGGGAGCGAACAGGCUUAGAUACCCUGGUAGUCCACGCUGUAAACGGUGGGUACUAGGUGUGGGGUCCAUUCCACGGGUUCCGUGCCGUAGCUAACGCUUUAAGUACCCCGCCUGGGGAGUACGGCCGCAAGGCUAAAACUCAAAGGAAUUGACGGGGCCCCGCACAAGCGGCGGAGCAUGCGGAUUAAUUCGAUGCAACGCGUAGAACCUUACCUGGGUUUGACAUGGAUCGGGAGUGCUCAGAGAUGGGUGUGCCUCUUUUGGGGUCGGUUCACAGGUGGUGCAUGGCUGUCGUCAGCUCGUGUCGUGAGAUGUUGGGUUAAGUCCCGCAACGAGCGCAACCCUUGUUCACUGUUGCCAGCACGUUAUGGUGGGGACUCAGUGGAGACCGCCGGGGUCAACUCGGAGGAAGGUGGGGAUGACGUCAAGUCAUCAUGCCCCUUAUGUCCAGGGCUUCACGCAUGCUACAAUGGCUGGUACAGAGAGUGGCGAGCCUGUGAGGGUGAGCGAAUCUCGGAAAGCCGGUCUCAGUUCGGAUUGGGGUCUGCAACUCGACCUCAUGAAGUCGGAGUCGCUAGUAAUCGCAGAUCAGCAACGCUGCGGUGAAUACGUUCCCGGG